UCCGGGCGGACGCCGAGUCCUGCCGCCGUCCGGAUGACUGGUCGACAGGAGUGGAUCGGCAGGAGUGGAGGACCCAAGCAGUACGGGUGACCGAACGAUGUUCGUCCCAUCGGUCGCCCUUGGGGUGAAGCCGCGUCAGCGGCCGGGCAACUUCGCCAGUCCGAACCCGACAGGUCAUCCUUCACAGGCGGCUGACGAAGGGUUG
RNAcentral lists this small RNA (205 nucleotides) under Streptomyces sp. Its description in RNAcentral is "c-di-AMP sequence". It matches the Rfam family "c-di-AMP riboswitch aptamer (ydaO/yuaA leader)". From Rfam's summary of the family: This family represents a conserved RNA structure found upstream of the ydaO and yuaA genes in Bacillus subtilis and related genes in other bacteria. The ydaO/yuaA element is thought to act as a genetic "off" switch for the ydaO and yuaA genes in its native state. It is believed that the element may be triggered during osmotic shock leading to activation of ydaO, a predicted amino acid transporter gene, and members of the yuaA-yubG operon which code for KtrA and KtrB K+ transporters. The record is from RNAcentral. Lineage: Bacteria; Bacillati; Actinomycetota; Actinomycetes; Kitasatosporales; Streptomycetaceae.